UGCCAGCCGCCGCGGUAAUACGGAGGGUGCGAGCGUUAUCCGGAAUUAUUGGGUUUAAAGCGUGCGUAGGCGGUUUGUUAAGCAAGAUGUGAAAGCCCAGGGCUCAACCUUGGAAUUGCAUUUUGAACUGGCAGGCUAGAGUACUGUAGAGGGUGGUGGAAUUUCCAGUGUAGCGGUGAAAUGCGUAGAUAUAGGAAGGAACAUCAGUGGCGAAGGCGGCCACCUGGACUAAUACUGACACUGAGGUGCGAAAGCGUGGGGAGCAAACAGGAUUAGAUA
Molecule: ribosomal RNA, 279 nt
Filed under: uncultured bacterium
Lineage: Bacteria
Description: partial 16S ribosomal RNA
Rfam family: Bacterial small subunit ribosomal RNA
Source: RNAcentral